This is a long non-coding RNA of Hibiscus syriacus, 663 nucleotides long. RefSeq lists it as uncharacterized. The record is from RefSeq and is a predicted model, not a curated record. The transcript is spliced from 3 exons. Lineage: Eukaryota; Viridiplantae; Streptophyta; Magnoliopsida; Malvales; Malvaceae.
CGAAUACAAGUUGGGGAAUUUGGCCUUUAAUCUUUAAUCUUACUUUUGGCUAUUUUGCUGCUUGGAUGAUUGGUUUUGAAUGUCAUUUACACGCCUCCACUUUCGUUCUUCUAAGCGCGACCGUGUUAUUGCGGUUUCAGGACCGCCGCAAUUCCAAACGCCGAGAGCGGUGCACAUCUUCGAAUGAAAUCGGUGUACGACCAUUUGGCUCCUCUCUUUCUGUUUUUGCUACAAUGGAUGGAUAGUUCAUGAAUGUGUCUACUCCCUAGAUAUGUAGACCUCUUCCACGUACUUCUAUACGAAGUAUAUGCAGAUGGGAGAUUAAAGAUAUCUACACAUGGAAGGAAGGCAACGGUUAGGGAAUUUUAUGGUGUUAUAUUGUCAUCUAUUCAAAGGCCUCAUGGUUGCUUGGGGUGGUUGGAUGAUGAUAAGGAAAGGCGUUUUACAAUAGAGAGUUCCGGUAAGAGAUGAUUCUAGCAUAUUGACUUGGAGAGGGAAGAUGAAUGUGGGAUUUGCUUGGAGCCUUGCACCAAAAUGGUCUUUCUGAGUUGUUGUCAUGCAAUGUGCAUCAAAUGCUACGGGAAUUGGUAACUGGAAACCACCCACUAUACCUCUUGCAUUUCUAUUCUUUCCCAGUUUCUGCCCUUGAUGGUUAUCAUUCCA